GACGAACGCUGGCGGCGUGCUUAACACAUGCAAGUCGAACGGAAAGGCCCUGCUUUUGUGGGGUGCUCGAGUGGCGAACGGGUGAGUAACACGUGAGUAACCUGCCCUUGACUUUGGGAUAACUUCAGGAAACUGGGGCUAAUACCGGAUAGGAGCUCCUGAUGCAUGGUGGGGGUUGGAAAGUUUCGGCGGUUGGGGAUGGACUCGGGGCUUAUCAGCUUGUUGGUGGGGUAGUGGCUUACCAAGGCUUUGACGGGUAGCCGGCCUGAGAGGGUGACCGGCCACAUUGGGACUGAGAUACGGCCCAGACUCCUACGGGAGCCAGCAGUGGGGAAUUUUGCACGAUGUGCGGAAGCCUGAUGCAGCAACGCCUCGUGCGGGAUGACGGCCUUCGAGUUGUAAACCGCUUUCGCCUGUGACGAAGCGUGAGUGACGGUAAUGGGUAAAGAAGCACCGGCUAACUACGUG
Molecule: ribosomal RNA, 468 nt
Filed under: uncultured bacterium
Lineage: Bacteria
Description: partial 16S ribosomal RNA
Rfam family: Bacterial small subunit ribosomal RNA
Source: RNAcentral